CAUGCAAGUCGAACGAACUCUGGUAUUGAUUGGUGCUUGCAUCAUGAUUUACAUUUGAGUGAGUGGCGAACUGGUGAGUAACACGUGGGAAACCUGCCCAGAAGCGGGGGAUAACACCUGGAAACAGAUGCUAAUACCGCAUAACAACUUGGACCGCAUGGUCCGAGUUUGAAAGAUGGCUUCGGCUAUCACUUUUGGAUGGUCCCGCGGCGUAUUAGCUAGAUGGUGGGGUAACGGCUCACCAUGGCAAUGAUACGUAGCCGACCUGAGAGGGUAAUCGGCCACAUUGGGACUGAGACACGGCCCAAACUCCUACGGGAGGCAGCAGUAGGGAAUCUUCCACAAUGGACGAAAGUCUGAUGGAGCAACGCCGCGUGAGUGAAGAAGGGUUUCGGCUCGUAAAACUCUGUUGUUAAAGAAGAACAUAUCUGAGAGUAACUGUUCAGGUAUUGACGGUAUUUAACCAGAAAGCCACGGCUAACUACGUGCCAGCAGCCGCGGUAAUACGUAGGUGGCAAGCGUUGUCCGGAUUUAUUGGGCGUAAAGCGAGCGCAGGCGGUUUUUUAAGUCUGAUGUGAAAGCCUUCGGCUCAACCGAAGAAGUGCAUCGGAAACUGGGAAACUUGAGUGCAGAAGAGGACAGUGGAACUCCAUGUGUAGCGGUGAAAUGCGUAGAUAUAUGGAAGAACACCAGUGGCGAAGGCGGCUGUCUGGUCUGUAACUGACGCUGAGGCUCGAAAGUAUGGGUAGCAAACAGGAUUAGAUACCCUGGUAGUCCAUACCGUAAACGAUGAAUGCUAAGUGUUGGAGGGUUUCCGCCCUUCAGUGCUGCAGCUAACGCAUUAAGCAUUCCGCCUGGGGAGUACGGCCGCAAGGCUGAAACUCAAAGGAAUUGACGGGGGCCCGCACAAGCGGUGGAGCAUGUGGUUUAAUUCGAAGCUACGCGAAGAACCUUACCAGGUCUUGACAUACUAUGCAAAUCUAAGAGAUUAGACGUUCCCUUCGGGGACAUGGAUACAGGUGGUGCAUGGUUGUCGUCAGCUCGUGUCGUGAGAUGUUGGGUUAAGUCCCGCAACGAGCGCAACCCUUAUUAUCAGUUGCCAGCAUUAAGUUGGGCACUCUGGUGAGACUGCCGGUGACAAACCGGAGGAAGGUGGGGAUGACGUCAAAUCAUCAUGCCCCUUAUGACCUGGGCUACACACGUGCUACAAUGGAUGGUACAACGAGUUGCGAACUCGCGAGAGUAAGCUAAUCUCUUAAAGCCAUUCUCAGUUCGGAUUGUAGGCUGCAACUCGCCUACAUGAAGUCGGAAUCGCUAGUAAUCGCGGAUCAGCAUGCCGCGGUGAAUACGUUCCCGGGCCUUGUACACACCGCCCGUCACACCAUGAGAGUUUGUAACACCCAAAGUCGGUGGGGUAACCUUUUAGGAACCAGCCGCCUAA
This 1441-nucleotide ribosomal RNA is filed under the name Lactiplantibacillus pentosus. Its description in RNAcentral is "bacterial SSU rRNA". It matches the Rfam family "Bacterial small subunit ribosomal RNA". The record is from RNAcentral. Lineage: Bacteria; Bacillati; Bacillota; Bacilli; Lactobacillales; Lactobacillaceae.